UUUGAUCAUGGCUCAGAGUGAACGCUGGCGUGUAGGCCUAACACAUGCAAGUCGAACGGCAGCACAGAGGAGCUUGCUCCUUGGGUGGCGAGUGGCGGACGGGUGAGGAAUACAUCGGAAUCUACUCUGUCGUGGGGGAUAACGUAGGGAAACUUACGCUAAUACCGCAUACGACCUACGGGUGAAAGCAGGGGAUCUUCGGACCUUGCGCGAUUGAAUGAGCCGAUGUCGGAUUAGCUAGUUGGCGGGGUAAAGGCCCACCAAGGCGACGAUCCGUAGCUGGUCUGAGAGGAUGAUCAGCCACACUGGAGCUGAGACACGGUCCAGACUCCUACGGGAGGCAGCAGUUGGGGAAUAUUGGACAAUGGGCGCAAAGCCUGAUCCAGCCAUACCGCGUGGGUGAAGAAGGCCUUCGGGUUGUAAAGCCCUUUGUUGGGGAANGAAAUCCAGCCGGCUAAUACCUGGUUUGGGAUAGACGGUACCCAAAGAAUAAUGGCACCGGCUAAACUUCGGUGCCAGCAGCCGCGGGUAAUACGAAAGGGUGCAAGCGGUAACUCGGAAUUACUGGGGCGUAAAAGCGUGCGUAG
This 587-nucleotide ribosomal RNA is filed under the name uncultured bacterium. RNAcentral describes it as "bacterial SSU rRNA". It matches the Rfam family "Bacterial small subunit ribosomal RNA", at positions 12 to 574 of the family's 1533-position model. The record is from RNAcentral.